GAGACCCACGCCAACAGUUGCCAGCAUGUCCUCCGGGAUGGUGGGGACACUGUUGGGACCGCCUCUGCUAAAGAGGAGGAAGGAAUGGGCAACGGUAGGUCAGCAUGCCCCGAAUUAUCCGGGCUACACGCGGGCUACAAUGGGCAGGACAAUGGGUUUCGACACCGAAAGGUGAAGGCAAUCUCUUAAACCUGCUCCUAGUUCGGAUUGCGGGUUGCAACUCGCCCUCAUGAAGCUGGAAUCUGUAGUAAUCGCGUCUCAAAAUGGCGCGGUGAAUAU
Molecule: ribosomal RNA, 279 nt
Filed under: uncultured methanogenic archaeon
Lineage: Archaea; Methanobacteriati; Methanobacteriota
Description: partial 16S rRNA
Rfam family: Archaeal small subunit ribosomal RNA
Source: RNAcentral